GAAGAGGCUUAAGACUUGAGCUUUCAAUGCAUAGAGUCUAAAAUCAAGUCAGUUUCUAAGCACAACCUCUGUCACAGUACUCCAGCUGAACAAUAGCAACCUUUAGGUAGGGUACUUUAAUCGGCAUGUUAAUGUUGAUGUGCCGAAGGACCAUUCCUGAAUUAAAAGACAACUCUUUACGUCCAAACACAGGGGAAAUGUGCUGGUGUUUUCAUUCCAAUCCAUACAUCCAUCCCAAAGAAGAAACAUUUACAAGACUAAAGCUUUUAGAAACCAAUCCAGACAAGCAGAUUCACUAACAGUUGGUAAUAAUGGGUUUGGAAUUUCUGUUUUUCUAGGUUUUUUUUAGGAUUUGAAAUUUUAGAGAUAUUCGAUUAAAAAAAUGAAAUAUUAUGUACUACAAAUAUAUUAGAUAUUAACUUACAACUCCUCAUAAUUGGAGCCCUCUGUUUCAGGUUCCCAGUCAUGGUCAUCCACAUCACAUUUCUAAAAACCAAUCCUUGUCCAGGCAAGUUGUCAGGAUUGUGGGUAUAUAUUCAGGGCAGAAGACGAAUUUCUUCUUUUAAGGCUUGUGAAACAGUUGCGACAAAAGUCACAAUUGAGAGUUUUUUCUCCUUUUGCAGCCAUUUUAAUCUUAUUACGUAUACAUCUUGCCUUCCAAUAGGUAGGCAAAUUUACCUAGGUUACUUUUGAAACUUUUUAUCUACAUCUUUUAAAGCACAACAAGGUAAGGUUCACAUUUUAACUUCUAAUGAAUGUUUUUAUCAUAUAUACAUCACUUUGUUUUCUUUUACAAACUCUCCCUAGUUAACCACUUGCCAUGUGAUUGUUCCUAAAUAUUUCAGAGAAAAAUGAGACAUAAAAGGGUUUGUCCAGAAACAGAAGCUUUGCAUUUCACUUCUUCUGGAAGGGAUAAAGACACAUUUUACAAAAGAUUCAUCAACAAGGAGAAAGAAAUGACUGACACUCACCUGAGUCACAUUCCAGAGGAAUUAUGCAUUGGUGAAAUGAUCCAGUCAGAGCAGAAAAAUGUUCCAGGAGAACAAACAGAACAACACCAUGAAGUAAAAAACCAAGGACAAGAUACACAUACAG
Long non-coding RNA from Fundulus heteroclitus (mummichog), 1095 nucleotides. RefSeq lists it as uncharacterized. NCBI's taxonomy places the organism in Eukaryota, Metazoa, Chordata, Actinopteri, Cyprinodontiformes, Fundulidae. The transcript is spliced from 3 exons. The record is from RefSeq and is a predicted model, not a curated record.